GCUUGUUUAGUUUAGUAAAAUGUGGGUCUCCAAAACCAAUUUCGUAGGUUCAAGUCCCAUAGAGCGUG
This 68-nucleotide transfer RNA is filed under the name Vitis vinifera (wine grape). It matches the Rfam family "tRNA". Rfam says of the family: Transfer RNA (tRNA) molecules are approximately 80 nucleotides in length. The record is from Rfam by way of RNAcentral. Lineage: Eukaryota; Viridiplantae; Streptophyta; Magnoliopsida; Vitales; Vitaceae.